Molecule: small RNA, 485 nt
Filed under: uncultured Microcystis sp.
Lineage: Bacteria; Bacillati; Cyanobacteriota; Cyanophyceae; Chroococcales; Microcystaceae
Description: bacterial LSU rRNA
Rfam family: Bacterial small subunit ribosomal RNA (bases 1-100)
Source: RNAcentral
CUCAACCGCAAGGAGGGGGAUGCCUAAGGCAGGGCUAGUGACUGGGGUGAAGUCGUAACAAGGUAGCCGUACCGGAAGGUGUGGCUGGAUCACCUCCUUAAAGGGAGACCUAAUUCAGGUAGGAGACGAAAAAAAAGUAGUCCCUACCAAGAAUCAAUCCCAAAAGGUCGGAGCGAGGCAAAAUUGGCUUUCAAACUAGGUUCUGGUUUCACACAAGACCUGAAUCAGGAACAAGGGCUAUUAGCUCAGGUGGUUAGAGCGCACCCCUGAUAAGGGUGAGGUCCCUGGUUCGAGUCCAGGAUGGCCCACCUGCACAGGUGGCAAAAACAAAAGAAGCGAGGAAUCAGCACCUUAUCUUACUUAUAUAGUAAGAGAGAAUGCUGGCUCUGAGUACAGAGUCCAGAGGAACCUUGAAAACUGCAUAGAGCUAGGUGAAAAAGCCAAAAAAGAAGACCGCAAGGUCAAGCUAAUAAGGGCUAACGGUG